UUGCUGCAUAGGUUUGAUAAUAAAAUCAUGGUAAAAAUUUAUCAUCCUAUAUCCCUCGGAGACAUACUUGUCCAGGGAUUUCAAGUUUUCAUUUGCUAAGUGUUACACUUCUUAAAUUGAACCUUCACUCCUAGGAGACAUACCUUUUAGUCGAGUCAUCCCCCUUGAUUCCUAUAAGACGUACUUUUUAGUCGAGUCAUUCCCCUGAUUCCUAUAAGAUGUACCUUUUAGUCGAGUCAUUUCCCGUUGACCCCAUAAGAUGUACCUUUUAGUUGAGUCAUCCUCCUUGACCCCUAGAAGACGUACCUUUUAGUCGAGUCAUUCCCCUGAUUCCUAUAAGACGUACCUUUUAGUAGAGUCAUUUCCCUGAUUUUUAUAAGAUGUACCUUUAAGUCGAGUCAUCCCCCCUUGACCUCUAGAAGACAUACCUUUUAGUCGAGUCGCUCCUUUGAUUCCUAUAAGACGUACUUUUUAGUCGAGUCAUUUUCCUUGACCCCUAAAAGACGUACCUUUUAGUCAAGUCAUUUUCCUUGAUUCCUAUAAGACGUACCUUUUAGUUGAGUAAUCCCCCCUUGACCCCUAAAAGACGUACCUUUUAGUCGAGUCGCUUAUUUGAUUCCUAUAAGACGUAUCUUUUAGUCGAGUCAUUCCCCCUUGACCCCUAUGAAACGUACCUUUUAGUCGAGUCGCUCCUUUGAUUCCUAUAAGACGUACCUUUUAGUCGAGUCAUUUCCCUUGACCCCUAGAAGACGUACCUUUUAGUCGAGUCAUCCCCCUUGAUUCCUAUAAGACGUGCUGUUUAGUCGAGUCAUUCCCCUGAUUCCUAUAAGACGUACCUUUUAGUUGAGUCAUUCUCCUUGAUUCUUAUAAUGAUGUGACUUUCACAAAAGUCCUUUGAUGAUAAACUGGGGAAAAAUUUAAUUCUUGUGUUUGAAACUUCACUUUUCUGGCAAAUGAAAUAUCUUUAUAAUAAUAUUUGUUUGGGGUAAUUUUCUUUUUAGUUUUAAUGUGAUUUCAGGAGCCCACCUGAAGAGCAGGACGAAUAAAUGAAAAGUCAAGCAACAUGGUGAAGAAGUUGAAAGUCAAGCAACCUGGUGAAAAGUUGAAAGUUAACACAUUGAUGCAAUAGUAAGUCAGGAGCUCGCCUGAAGAACAGGGUGAUGAAAUUACAAGUCAGGAACCCGUCUGAAGAACAGGUGAUGAAAUUGCAAGACAGAGCCCGCCUGAAGAACAGGGUGAUGAAAUGGCAAGUCAGGAUCCCGCCCGAAGCACCGGGCGAAUAAAUGGAAAGUUAAGCAAUAAGGUGAAGCAAUUGAAGACCAAGCAACAAGUGAUGAAAUUUCAAGUCAGGAGCCCGCCUGAAGAAUAAGGUGAUGAAACUUAAGUCAAGAGUCCAACAGAAGCUGUAUAGAUAGGAUUUUGUAAUUUCAUUUAUGUUUUAACUUGUAAUUUUCAUUUUAAUGUAAUGACAGAGCCGCGGAACAUAACCUCGAUGGAACCUCACUCGACUCUCCAACUCGGUAUAGUCCAUUUCCUUCCAAUCCUUUGAGAUAUUUGUCACUUGACUCCCUCAUAAAUUGAGUAGGUAGGGUGUCCUAAGUCGAGACUCAGUU
RNAcentral lists this long non-coding RNA (1613 nucleotides) under Capsicum annuum. Its description in RNAcentral is "long non-coding RNA (CANN_LNC013566)". The record is from RNAcentral. Lineage: Eukaryota; Viridiplantae; Streptophyta; Magnoliopsida; Solanales; Solanaceae.